RNAcentral lists this ribosomal RNA (253 nucleotides) under uncultured bacterium. RNAcentral's name for it is "partial 16S ribosomal RNA". It matches the Rfam family "Bacterial small subunit ribosomal RNA", at positions 524 to 776 of the family's 1533-position model. The record is from RNAcentral.
UACGUAGGGGGCAAGCGUUGUCCGGAAUCAUUGGGCGUAAAGAGCGUGUAGGCGGCUUGGUAAGUCCGCUGUGAAAGUCCAGGGCUCAACCCUGGAAAGCCGGUGGAAACUGUCAAGCUUGAGUCCGGAAGAGGCGAGUGGAAUUCCUGGUGUAGCGGUGAAAUGCGCAGAUAUCAGGAGGAACACCAAUGGCGAAGGCAGCUCGCUGGGACGGUACUGACGCUAAGACGCGAAAGCGUGGGGAGCAAACAGG